RNAcentral lists this ribosomal RNA (443 nucleotides) under uncultured bacterium. Its description in RNAcentral is "partial 16S ribosomal RNA". It matches the Rfam family "Bacterial small subunit ribosomal RNA", at positions 338 to 795 of the family's 1533-position model. The record is from RNAcentral.
CCUACGGGAGGCUGCAGUGGGGAAUAUUGGGCAAUGGGCGCAAGCCUGACCCAGCAACGCCGCGUGAAGGAAGAAGGCUUUCGGGUUGUAAACUUCUUUUCUCAGGGACGAAGAAAGUGACGGUACCUGAGGAAUAAGCCACGGCUAACUACGUGCCAGCAGCCGCGGUAAUACGUAGGGGGCAAGCGUUAGCCGGAUUUACUGGGUGUAAGGGGCGUGUAGGCGGGAAAGCAAGUCAGAUGUGAAAACCAUGGGCUCAACCUGUGGCCUGCAUUUGAAACUGUUUUUCUUGAGUACUGGAGAGGCAGACGGAAUUCCUGGUGUAGCGGUGAAAUGCGUAGAGAUUAGGAGGAACACCAGUGGCGAAGGCGGUCUGCUGGACAGCAACUGACGCUGAGGCGCGAAAGCGUGGGGAGCAAACAGGAUUAGAUACCCUAGUAGUC